AACUCUAGAGAUAGAGCCUUUCCCUUCGGGGGACAAAGUGACAGGUGGUGCAUGGUUGUCGUCAGCUCGUGUCGUGAGAUGUUGGGUUAAGUCCCGCAACGAGCGCAACCCUUAAGCUUAGUUGCCAUCAUUAAGUUGGGCACUCUAAGUUGACUGCCGGUGACAAACCGGAGGAAGGUGGGGAUGACGUCAAAUCAUCAUGCCCCUUAUGAUUUGGGCUACACACGUGCUACAAUGGACAAUACAAAGGGCAGCGAAACCGCGAGGUCAAGCAAAUCCCAUAAAGUUGUUCUCAGUUCGGAUUGUAGUCUGCAACUCGACUACAUGAAGCUGGAAUCGCUAGUAAUCGUAGAUCAGCAUGCUACGGUGAAUACGUUCCCGGGUCUUGUACACACCGCCCGUCACACCACGAGAGUUUGUAACACCCGAAGCCGGUGGAGUAACCUUUUAGGAGCUAGCCGUCGAAGGUGGGACAAAUGAUUGGGGUGAAGUCGUAACAAGGUAGCCGUAUCGGAAGGUGCGGCUGGAUCACCUCCUUU
RNAcentral lists this ribosomal RNA (539 nucleotides) under Staphylococcus aureus. RNAcentral's name for it is "bacterial SSU rRNA". It matches the Rfam family "Bacterial small subunit ribosomal RNA", at positions 996 to 1533 of the family's 1533-position model. Lineage: Bacteria; Bacillati; Bacillota; Bacilli; Caryophanales; Staphylococcaceae. The record is from RNAcentral.